This is a non-coding RNA of Poecilia reticulata (guppy), 1853 nucleotides long. The record is from RefSeq and is a predicted model, not a curated record. Lineage: Eukaryota; Metazoa; Chordata; Actinopteri; Cyprinodontiformes; Poeciliidae.
UGAUGACGCAUUUCCUGCCAUUCGUAGUUUCCACCAGAGGUCUCAAGGACCAAAGAUGGCUUAAAUCUUCCUUGGAUGUCUGAGCGACUCCAAACUAUUAUUUGGUGUAAUAAUCUGACAGGUUUUUUUUCAUCCUUUGCUUUAAAUCUAAUGUCUUUUUGCUUGUUUCAGGUGGAGGAGUUUCUGCGAGAAGGCCUUUCAGUAUAGGAGGCUUGCAGUUUCCACCAGAGGUCGAACGACCAAAGAUGGUUCAUUCCUUCCUUGGAUGUCUGAGCGAAAAAAAAUUUAUAUAUAUUUGACCAUUUAAGAGGUUUCUUGGUCCUAAGCUAAAUCUGCUGCGUUUGGGACAAAAUGUGUAUAAUUGAUCGGUUGUGUAGUGAAGUCCAGUCCAACGUUUGGGCUGGUCUCUCUGAUUCCUGCUCUGGUUAAUGAUGAGACCUGAGCGGCUCGGUCUAAUCCAAACAGGUCUACGUUUUUUUGAGUCGACUCUGUUGUGGAGCCAAAUACAACUCGGGGUGUCUGCAUCCCUAGGAAAAAAACUUAAGUCAUUUAAGGCCUUAAAUUGUCAUGAAUUCAUUAAGAAAUGUUGGUCAUUUUAAUCACAGGUGUUAAAUUUUAUCUUGACUGGACUAUUUAAUCUUGUAUUAUAUGUAGUUUAUUUUUCUUGCGACUUCUCAGGCAAAUGUUUAAACAUCCUUAUGUUCUGUGACUCGAGGUUGUUGAGGCUACCGCUAACUAGCUGCUAACAAAUCCUUGCUAGCUAGUGCUUUUGUGUCCAUCAUGACCAAAUGUAAAUUUAUUGCCAGUUUUGCUGAUAUCAAUUCUGUGCAAAAAAAAACAAAACUUGGCACCAUUCUGUAAAAUAAGUGCUUUAUAUAUUUUUGUUGGGUCUUAAAUUUUUAUUCAUUGUGGUCUUAAAAACGCAUAAAAGGAUUGGGACCAGUGGUUGAGGAAAAAAAACUUUAUUUUUCUCUUUGCUUGAAAUUCUGACUUUAAAUCUCAAUUAUGACUCAUAAAUUUAACUUUGUCUCAAAAAACUUUUUUUUAAGUGAGUCUAAUCCUCAUCUUGUGACGGUGCGGCGAGAGGUUGGAGAAGGAGUUAGCGGUGGCGGUUAGCCACUCUAACCCAAAACAGCAGGACGCACUUUUGAAGUAUUCCACGCUUUCAAUUUAUUUAACUUCGUCCACAUACAGCCAGAUCUCCACGGUACUAAGCAUUAUAUUUCCAUACAUGAGAAAAGUAACGUUAGUUUACCGCUCUGCACCUCRUCAUCACCUAUGUUCUCUUCUACAACAAAAUGGAAGACUAGUUCUUCUGUACAAUAGUGCAACAACAAAGGAAAUAGGCGCCCCCUUGAGGCGAUACCUACUCAUCUCUAGGAACCAAACAGCAUAAUGACUGUUACAAUCUGUAUAAAAAAGGUUUUGAAGUGUUCAGAUUGAGUUUCCCUGUCCUGAUAUAUGGACUCUGUCCACCAGUUGUCUUCUCCUGCCAGAGGAUCAGUUUGACAUGCGUCCGCUUCUCGGACUGACUUUGUAUAUUUCAGUUUAAGGGAGAGCAGAAUAGAAAUGAAUCCCUAAAAUAUCAUUUUUCUGAAGUAUUGCUAAAAAGCAGCAUUAUGAAGGAGGGCAGAUUUCCUCUUUUUGUUCAGUCCACAACAAAGAAAGCCACUAACCAGACGUUUCUUUCCUCAUCCAGGUGGUGAAAUGUUGUUAAACUGCCGGAUCGUCACCGUUGGUUACGAACCUCAUGAAUCUGAUGAUGGACCGAUUCAGUGAGGACGACGACGACAACUGCUGCUGUUCUCUGGGAUUAUUUUGUAAUUUAUUAAUAAAGUCUGAUGUAAAUGAAA